This 152-nucleotide unclassified non-coding RNA is filed under the name uncultured Cercophora. RNAcentral describes it as "partial internal transcribed spacer 2". Lineage: Eukaryota; Fungi; Ascomycota; Sordariomycetes; Sordariales; Lasiosphaeriaceae. The record is from RNAcentral.
CAACCAUCAAGCCCCAGGCUUGUGUUGGAGCCCUGCGGCUGCCGCAGCCUCCUAAAAGCAGUGGCGGGCUCGCUAUCACACCGAGUGCAGUAGUUUACUCUUCGCUCAGGGCGUGUGGCGGGUUCCAGCCGUUAAACCCCCUACUUUUACAA